Molecule: long non-coding RNA, 449 nt
Organism: Triticum aestivum (bread wheat)
Lineage: Eukaryota; Viridiplantae; Streptophyta; Magnoliopsida; Poales; Poaceae
Exons: 4
Source: RefSeq, a predicted model, not a curated record
UGUCUUGGAGUUGUACAUUCUUUAGCCUUGUAGGAUUAUAUCCAUCCAUGCACAUCUUGCUCACAAGGCUUGCAUGUUAUCUUUCUGUACAUAAAUCAGCUUUGCCUCGGAGCUGUAAUUCUCUUCAUUCCAACAGUUCUCGCAUCAUUGAUUUGAGUGGCAUUCUCCCUCCUGUAUACAUGACUGGUCGGCACACAACAUGCAGUGUGUCUAUUCGUAAGUGGCAAAACAUGUGUAACUCAACUCAUCAGGUAAAGAUGUACACCCUUCGCAAAGGGAAGUUCUACAAUAGGCUGUGGUUAAGUCACUUUACAGUAGGCCGUCCUGGGGCACGCGAAAACCACUGGAUAGGGACAUAAUUCGGCGAGGCUACAGAUGAUUAGACGAAGUCCUGGUGGUACAAGUUUCAGAGAGGUUAAUGAGUAAUGUAAUCUUUAAGAAGGUAUGAG